GUUCGGCUGAGUCUGAGGGUCGCCCCAGCGAGACGAGAACCCCCAAGGUAGCGAAGAAGAAGCAAAGAAAAAUUGAUUCUUCCACCCAUGGAUCGACGAUGGAAGAUCAAUGAUGAACGAAAGAUCCUUCCGGAGAUUGAAGAACCACCACCCUCGGGCUUUUGGGUGGGGUCGGAGGAUGAAGAAUGCUUGGAAGAGAGAAAUGCGGGAAAAGAUCAGCAAAAGCCGACACAAUAAGGCAAAGCUGAUUAUCAACCAGACUG
This 263-nucleotide long non-coding RNA is filed under the name Elaeis guineensis (African oil palm). RNAcentral describes it as "long non-coding RNA (EGUI_LNC011539)". The record is from RNAcentral. Lineage: Eukaryota; Viridiplantae; Streptophyta; Magnoliopsida; Arecales; Arecaceae.